Molecule: ribosomal RNA, 492 nt
Filed under: uncultured bacterium
Lineage: Bacteria
Description: partial 16S ribosomal RNA
Rfam family: Bacterial small subunit ribosomal RNA
Source: RNAcentral
AGUGAACGCUGGCGGUAGGCCUAACACAUGCAAGUCGAACGGCAGCACAGUAAGAGCUUGCUCUUACGGGUGGCGAGUGGCGGACGGGUGAGGAAUACAUCGGAAUCUACUUUUUCGUGGGUGAUAACGUAGGGAAACUUACGCUAAUACCGCAUACGACCUACGGGUGAAAGCAGGGGAUCUUCGGACCUUGCGCGAGUGAAUGAGCCGAUGUCGGAUUAGCUAGUUGGCGGGGUAAAGGCCCACCAAGGCGACGAUCCGUAGCUGGUCUGAGAGGAUGAUCAGCCACACUGGAACUGAGACACGGUCCAGACUCCUACGGGAGGCCGCAGUGGGGAAUAUUGGACAAUGGGCGCAAGCCUGAUCCAGCCAUACCGCGUGGGUGAAGCAGGCCUUCGGGUUGUAAAGCCCUUUUGUUGGGAAAGAACAGCAGCAGGUUAAUCGCCCGCUGUUCUGACGGUACCCAAUGAAUAAGCACCGGCUAACUUCGUG